GACGAACGCUGGCGGCGUGCUUAACACAUGCAAGUCGAACGGAAAGGCCCUGCUUUUGUGGGGUGCUCGAGUGGCGAACGGGUGAGUAACACGUGAGUAACCUGCCCUUGACUUUGGGAUAACUUCAGGAAACUGGGGCUAAUACCGGAUAGGGGCUCCUGCUGCAUGGUGGGGGUUGGAAAGUUUCGGCGGUUGGGGAUGGACUCGCGGCUUAUCAGCUUGUUGGUGGGGUAGUGGCUUACCAAGGCUUUGACGGGUAGCCGGCCUGAGAGGGUGACCGGCCACAUUGGGACUGAGAUACGGCCCAGACUCCUACGGGAGGCAGCAGUGGGGAAUAUUGCACAAUGGGCGGAAGCCUGAGGCAGCAACGCCGCGUGCGGGAUGACGGCCUUCGGGUUGUAAACCGCUUUCGCCUGUGACGAAGCGUGAGUGACGGUAAUGGGUAAAGAAGCACCGGCUAACUACGUG
Molecule: ribosomal RNA, 468 nt
Filed under: uncultured bacterium
Lineage: Bacteria
Description: partial 16S ribosomal RNA
Rfam family: Bacterial small subunit ribosomal RNA
Source: RNAcentral